GGGCGCCAGGCUCCAGGCUCCGUUCCGAAGCUGGGGAAAUGCAAGUGGUUCUUUGCGUGUAACAGGAUCUGUGAGGGGUGCACGCGAACUUGGAAGCCACGUUAUGGAUGCACUGACGUAUGAUGAUGUCUACAUUAAUUUCACUCCGGAAGAAUGGGCUUUGCUGGAUCCAACCCAGAAGAAUCUCUACACAGAUGUGAUGCUGGAGACCUGCAGGAGCCUCGCUGCUAUAGGUUACAAAACAGAAGACAAAAUUAUUGAACAUCUUCAAAAUUUUAGAGUACAUGGAAGGCAUAAAAGAAGUCUUACCAGAGAGAAACCCUAUGAAUAUACUCAAUGUGGUAAAGCCUCUACACGUCACAGUAGUCUUCAAAAACAUGAAAGAACACAUACUGGAGAGAAAACCUAUGAAUGUAAUCAGUGUGGUAAAGGCUUUACACAACAAGCAUACCUCCAAAACCAUAAAAGAACACACACUGGAGAGAAACCUUACGAAUGUUAUGAAUGUGGUAAAGGAUUUGCACAUUACUCUACUCUUCGGAAACAUGGUAGUACACAUACUGGAGAGAAACCCUAUGAAUGUAACCAAUGUGGCAAAGCUUUUUUAUGUCACAGUAGUCUCCAAAACCAUAAAAGAACACACACUGGAGAGAAACCCUAUGAAUGUAAUGAAUGUGGUAAAGCCUUUUCACGACACAGUAGUCUCCAAAAACAUAAAAGAACACAUACUGGAGAGAAACCCUAUGAAUGUAAUCAAUGUGGUAAAGCCUUUUCACACCUCAGUAGUCUCCGAUGUCAUAAAAGAACACAUACUGGAGAGAAACCCUAUGAAUGUAAUCAGUGUGGUAAAGCCUUUUCACAACAGGGUCAUCUCCAGAAACAUAAAAGAACACAUACUGGAGAGAAAAUCCUAUGAAUGUAAUCAAUGUGGUAAAACCUUUUCAGAACCCAGCAGUCUCCAAAUGCAUGAAAGAACACAUACUGGAGAGAAACUCUAUGUAGGCAAUUAAUGUGGUAAAGCCUUUGCAAUUUUCUGUACUUUUCAGAAUCAUGAAAGAGUUCAUACUGGAGAGAAACCCUAUAAAUGUAGCCAUUGUGGUAAAACCUUUGCUGUUCACAGUUAUUUCCAAAUACAUAAAGGAACACAUUCUGGAGAGAAAUCUUGUGAGUGUAGUCAGUGUGGUAAAAAGCAUUUGCACAUUACUAUACAUGUUGAAAACAUGAAGGUAUAGAAACCGUAUGAAUGCAAGCAAUGAGGUAAAGCCUUUUCAUGACAGAGUCAUCUCCAGAAACAUAAAACAUAGUCUAGAGAAAUUGCAUCAAUGCAGUCAGUGCCUUUGCACAACAGAGUUAUCUCCAAAUACAUAGAAACACAUAUAUUGAGAGAACCCUAUGUAAGAAGUGUAGUAAAGCCUUUUCACAUGGUAGUUAUCUAACACCUAGAAGAACCCUCACCAGAUAGAGACCCUGCAAACACAGUCAGUGUGAGAAAGCCUUUUCACAAUAGUGAUCUCUAAACUAAAAAUAGCAGCAACCACAAAAAUCAGUUUGGAAACACAUUGUGGAAAGGCCUUUGCGUAUUACAGUUAUCUCUGAAAACAUAAAAGAAUACAUACUGGAGGGUAAACUUACGAAUGUAAUUGCUGUGUUAAUACAUGAACUCAUACUAAAGGGAAUCUGGGGCUAUAAAGUAUUUGGUAAGAUUUUUAGCCAGCUCAAUUGCACAAGAUCAUUUUAUUCUGGGGGAAUAAAAACCCAACAAGUGUCCACAACCUCUUUAAGCCUUUUGCCUAUCUGUAUUUUGUUUGCACCUACAAACUCAUAGAUAAAAGCCCUAUGAAUUUACACUAUUAGGUAGCAACAUUUAGAUUUCAUUCAUCUCUUCAACUACAUCAAAUAAGUUACCUAAGUGUAAAGCUUUAUGGAUCUGUCUUAGUAACUUUUUUGAUGCUAUGAUAAAACGUAGCAUCUUUGGUAACUUAACUUAUUAAACACUUUAUUUGGGCUCAUGGUGCCAGAGGUGUAUGGGAUUACCAUCAACGUGGCAUGGCAACAAGUGGGAGACAUGGCAGUAAAACAGGAAGUUUAAAGCUCACAUUCAAACCAUAGCGUGAAGCAGUGAUGGGGAACAGGAUUUAAACUGUCACCCCCCCCCCCCCAGCGCAGUGACAUGUUUCCUCCAGUAGGGACAGUAUUUACUAAAUCUUUCCCAUUGAGAAGGGUUGAUUUUCUGAAUUCCAGCUCAAAUACUUUCCUUUUGGGAAGUAAACCAGUUCAUGAGGAAGAAAAACUGUGGAAAUGAGCCUUUAGAUGCCUCAUCAUCUGGGCUAUACCAGUGAAGGCUUAGAGG
This is an RNA transcript of Mus pahari (shrew mouse), 2350 nucleotides long. It is a transcript of the gene named zinc finger protein 120-like, with no coding region annotated. The transcript has 4 exons. Lineage: Eukaryota; Metazoa; Chordata; Mammalia; Rodentia; Muridae. The record is from RefSeq and is a predicted model, not a curated record.